Molecule: long non-coding RNA, 253 nt
Filed under: Ananas comosus (pineapple)
Lineage: Eukaryota; Viridiplantae; Streptophyta; Magnoliopsida; Poales; Bromeliaceae
Description: long non-coding RNA (ACOM_LNC024753)
Source: RNAcentral
AAAGACCCUGACCUUAUCUCCAUUCCCAUCAACUUUAAAUAUUCAACCGACCGUCCCUAGAGCAAGUGGCAAAGAGCUUGGUGGUUGGUAUCCGAGACCCAAAUUCGAAUCCUAGUUGAUUUACAUUUCCAGCUAAAUUUAUUUUUAAAUGAAAUAAACGAAAUGGAUAGCGUGCUACCUAUCUCUCAAAAAAAAAAAAAAAAACACUUUAAAUGCUCACCUAUAUAUAGCCCAUCAUAUUUCUCCUCUCCAA